CAUAUAUUCGACACAUAUAAUAGUUUCAUGUCAAAAUAAGCAGUAUUUCAACACCCAAAAGCAAAAAAAUAUUAACAUCGAACUUUUAUCAGCAGCAUUAAAAAGCUGAAAAAGAGAUUCCACAGCAAAAUACACGCUUUAUCAGAAUUCACAAGCAAAAAUCACUAAAGCUUAGAGAGCCCAUAUUAAUUUAAGUUGUUCAAAUCCCUAAAUACGAUACAUCCAAUAAACAUACAUAUGCAUACAAGUAAGAACUUACCAGGGCUGUGACUGCGUUUCCGAAGCAGAGAGAGAAGCCUGAGCGACAAAAUGGUGAAGGCUAGGGCCAUCUGUCUUGUUAAAUGCAGAAUUGUGAGAUUGGGAAAAGUUUCAAGAAAGAUUGAGAGAAAAUCUCUUUCUUUUGCGUGUGCGUUGGGGGAAAAGGCCAUGGCAGCACGUAUUGGAAGCUAGAGCAUUGUUGGAGGAGAGGAAUCUGAUGCUGUAGAAGAAGCAUCGACUUUUGAUUUUGAGAUAAUGGUGUGGUUGGUUCAGGAUCAUUGAAAGAGAUCAUGGUAGAGAAGACGCCAUUCGAAGGAGAGCCUCUGUUUAUUUUGUUUGAAAUAUGUAAUUCAAUUUGCGCCUUGAUGGAAUUGUUGGAUAGGGAUUGCAAUUUUCUGCUCUGGUUUGCAUUCA
RNAcentral lists this long non-coding RNA (672 nucleotides) under Jatropha curcas. RNAcentral describes it as "long non-coding RNA (JCUR_LNC001325)". The record is from RNAcentral. Lineage: Eukaryota; Viridiplantae; Streptophyta; Magnoliopsida; Malpighiales; Euphorbiaceae.